GUGACCAUUUUAACAAUCACGUGUGUGUGUGUGUGUGUGUGUGUGUGUGUGUGUGUGUGUGUGUGUAGACGACAUGGCUAUCCUACUCCAAGUGUGGCGUAUCAAUGGUGGCCAGUGAAAUGCAGCCUAGGCGUUGUCUCAUUUGAGGGGGUCAAUCGUGAAUAUUUCAUAUAAAAAAAACUGCCUCUUUCCUUUGUCAACUCGGCUACUUUGUAUUAAUUUCCGUUUUAUGACACACGGACGCCCUGUCCCAUAUCCAUUGUGUGAAUAUACAAGUUAACGACGUGUUGGUAUUAAAAUCGGAAUACAAGGUUUAGUAGGAUGCUGGUGACCGCACGGCUCUCCUGUUGGUGUGGCAGGAGAGAUGCAGCAGGUGUUCUGAGUUUUCUAAUCAAGUGCUUUCUUGCAGUUUUGAGGGACUAAACCAGCUGUAUCGAAUGAAUAAAUGUUUGUAAAUUG
This is a long non-coding RNA of Gadus macrocephalus (Pacific cod), 459 nucleotides long. RefSeq lists it as uncharacterized. NCBI's taxonomy places the organism in Eukaryota, Metazoa, Chordata, Actinopteri, Gadiformes, Gadidae. The record is from RefSeq and is a predicted model, not a curated record. The transcript has 2 exons.